Molecule: ribosomal RNA, 301 nt
Filed under: uncultured bacterium
Lineage: Bacteria
Description: partial 16S ribosomal RNA
Rfam family: Bacterial small subunit ribosomal RNA
Source: RNAcentral
CAGUAGCCGCGGUAAUACGUAGGGUGCAAGCGUUAAUCGGAAUUACUGGGCGUAAAGCGUGCGCAGGCGGUUUGUUAAGACGGAUGUGAAAUCCCCGGGCUCAACCUGGGAACUGCAUUUGUGACUGGCAAGCUAGAGUGUGGCAGAGGGGGGUGGAAUUCCGCGUGUAGCAGUGAAAUGCGUAGAUAUGCGGAGGAACACCGAUGGCGAAGGCAGCCCCCUGGGCCAACACUGACGCUCAUGCACGAAAGCGUGGGGAGCAAACAGGAUUAGAUACCCCGGUAGUCCCUGUCUCUUAUAC